Oryza sativa Japonica Group (Japanese rice) is the source of this 2907-nucleotide non-coding RNA. The record is from RefSeq and is a predicted model, not a curated record. NCBI's taxonomy places the organism in Eukaryota, Viridiplantae, Streptophyta, Magnoliopsida, Poales, Poaceae.
CACGCGCGCGAGGGAGCUCGCGCGGUGGGGAGGCGGCGGCCGAGGCGCGUGCGCUAGGCAGCGUCGGCGGCCGUGUGAGGAGGCGGCGGCGGCCGCCGCCGCGGGUGCGCGAGGCUGCGGCCGAGGGCGUGUGCCGGCGCCCGCUCGCAGGAGGUCUACAGCCGGCGGCCAGUUCUCUUCCACGUGGAGGCGGCCUCUCACAGCCGAGGGCAAGACAAGGCAGAAAAGGGGAAGUUGUUGGCAAUGGAGGAAAUCAUAUCAAUGGAGCUAAUUUUGAUGGAAGAGUUCAACAGAUAAUUUGAUUCUUGUCUUGCUAUCUUAUGAAAAUGGACAUGAAAACUUAGAGCUAGCUAAAUCUAGAUGAAACUUAGAGUUAGAUACCCAGAUAUACUUAGAUAUACUUGAACUACUAGCUAGUAUGCAUUUUAAUCUUGGGGCUGCAUUCAGUACGGUUGCUUUUUCGUCUCUCUAUAUAACUUUGCUAUUUAGGACGAUUUACCUAAAUGUGCCACUUGUGUUGUGAUUUGUAGGCCUACUCACAGCGAUUUGCAAUUAGUUGUUAGAGUUGAGUCUUUUUUAAGUUUGCCGGAUGGAGGUCCAAAGCAAUACCUCUAGGGUAAAACCUUGCCAACCCAAAAUAUUGACAUGCAUAAGUAUGAUCUGCUGCAAGUUGUUAAUUUCAUUGCUGAACACUACACGUGGGGAUCUAAGCAAUAUGUGAGUUUGUGACGUUCUUUGGAUGAUGGUUUUGUUGAGAUAAAAUGAUGGUUUUGUUGAGAUAAAAUCCGAUGAACAUUUGCGGGAGUGGUUUCAGCUCAAUAUAGAUAAGGGGGUUGUGUGCAUUGAUGCCAAAAUCAAUGAUUUCAAUGGUCCAUUGCAAUUUUCACCCACAAAGCGUAGGUUUCAUUCUUCAGUAAGGUCUAGAGCAUGCAUAAGUGAGAUUGCCACAAAUGAGGGAGCCAAAAAAAAAGAGAGCCACAAAUGAGGAAGCUACUAAUGAGGGAGCCAAAAAAAAAAAAGAGAGCCACAAAUGAGAGAGCCACUAAUGAGGGAGCCAAAAAAAAGAGAGCCAAGAAUUCCAAAAAAAAGGGGUCAAAUGAUAAGGAUGCAGUAGGCAUUGAUGAUGAGGGCAUAUACUCUGACAAUGAAUUACUUGUGGUACAUAGUGAUAGCAGCUAUGAUUCUGAUUUGUCCGAAUCUUCCGACUCUGAUUGUUCUGACCCUAAGUUUGAUCCUGAUCAAGAAAUUAUUGAUGAGGGUGAUGAUGAUGAUGUACCUGUCUUUGCAUAUGAUGUUCAGGAUCCUUGUAUUGAUGUUGGUGUAGUGUUCCCAGAUGUGGAUCAAUGCAAGUUAGCAGUUACCCAUCAUGCUAUCUUGAAUGAUCAUGCUUUUGAAACUGUCAAGAAAGACAAGAAAAGGUUUAGAGCCAUUUGCAAAAGAGCAGAAGAGGGUUGCAAGUGGUGUUUUUUUUUUGCAUCAACAAGCCCUAAGUACAUUGGAUGCAAGGUCAAGACAAGUGGACCAAAGCACACUUGUGGAUCUUUCAAUAAGUGUGGUGAAACAAUGGUCACCACUAAGUGGGUAGCUGAUCGAGUGGUGGACUUGUUGCGGGAUAACUCCUCAAGGGGAGCAAAGGAUUUGCAGGAGGAGUUGAAUAGGAAGCAUCAGAUUGAUAUCCCAUAUUUCAAGGUCUUCAGAGGUAGAGAGAGCACUUGACAUUAUAAAUGGAAAGUGGGAUGACAGCUACGAUCUGCUGCCUACCUAUCGUGAAGAGCUAUUGAGAUCAGUGCUAGGCAGUGUAGUUGAGCUGGACACUAAAGAGUGCAAUGGUGAUGUCUGCUUUAGGAGGUUCUUUGUUGCUCUUAAACCCUGUAUCGAUGGGUUUUUUGGAAGGAUGUAGGCCUUACAUUGCUAUGGACUCCACUCACUUGACUGGAAGGUCCAGAGGCCAGUUGGCUUCGGCUGUUGCAAUUGAUGGUCAUAACAGGCUAUUUCCAGUGGCAUAUGGGGUGAUUGAGACAGAAUCUAAGGAAAGCUGGACUUGGUUUGUUCAGAAUGUGAAGAAAGCUAUUGGUACUCCAAAAGGUUUGGUCAUUAGUACGGAUGCAGACAAAGGAAUAGAAAGUGCUGUAGAUGAUGUUUAUCCAGGAGUGGAACAUAGAGAAUGUAUGAGGCACCUCUGGAAGAACAUGGAGAAGAAGUUCCAUGGCCCUCUAUUUGCCCAAAAUAUGUGGGCGGCUGCCAAAAGCUUCACAAAUGAGAAGUUCACAUACCACAUAGGCAAGAUAGAGGAGAAGUGUCUUGAAGCACUUUCUUGGUUGGAUGACAAUCAUCCAUACAUUUGGAGUAGAAGCAAGUUUUCUAACGAGUGCAAGGUAGAUUACAUCAAUAAUAAUCUUUCUGAAUGUUUCAAUAGUUGGGUCUCAAGAACCAAGGAUCGACGGAUUGUGGACAUGUAUGAUGCAAUAAGAUAGAUGAUCAUAACCAAGUUUGUUGCAAGAAACAACUUUGCUGGUAAGAUGGAGGGAAGAAUCAUUCCAGCUAUUACAAAGUCUUUGAAUGCUCAAAGCAAGAAUAUCAAGGACCAUGAGGUAUUGAUAUGUGGAGCUGGGACAGCUGAAGUAACUGUGGGCACCAUUAGGCAUGCCGUACAUUUGGAGCAACAAACAUGUUCUUGUAGGGUUUGGCAAGUGACUAGAAUGCCUCGCAGUCAUGCUUUAGCAUUCAUUGCAAAGCUUAGCACGGAUGUCCAUAUGGAUGAUUUUGUGGAUGAUUGCUUCUCCGUUGAGAAGUUCAAGAAGGCAUAUGCAAGGACUUUCAAUCCAAUGACAUCGAAGGAUAGAUGGGCACAUGUUGAUCUAGGCUACAAAAUCAAGAAGCCUAGUGUAGGAUCGAGAUGUCGACUAG